AUUAUAGCCUGUUCUUAUUCCCCUGCUUCCUGAGUGUUUGUAGCAUUGCUGAGUAGGUGAAGAGAACGUGAUUGGUAUGACCAGCAUUUUAAACUACUGAAGUCGUCUACAGUACAACAUUGGAACAAGAACAGAAAGAAACCUGCUGAGAUGAAAGGGAAAAAAAGGGUAAAGUGUGGUGCAGUAAAUCUUCGGAAAAGAAGUCAGAGAGGUGAAGGAAGAAAAAGGCUGGUUAUUCUACAUAAUAAAGAGGGUGGUUUCCAGCUAGGAGCUCUAUCAGACUGCUCCAGGGCCCUUUGGCCGGCACCAACCCUGGAGCCGAGAGGAAAGCAGAAAAGCACAACUGCUGGCAAGGAGGGCCCACGUGCGCUACCACAUUUGCCUUUCAACAGGAACGCAACCCGGCCAAUAUGAGCACCAACAUUUCUGGAUGCUCUGUCAAACAGAACUUUUAGCCAACGACUGCAUCUGUGCCUGAUGAAAUCAAUACUGUAACACGGCUGGACCACAGAUACCCGGAGAGGGGCAGGGAUGGAGGAGCAAGGGAGCUACGACUCGGUCAGCUCUGGCAUCCUCUCCUGCAUGGCCAGCGCGACUGUGCGGGGGCUCAGACGGGCACGAGGCCCCUCAGCCGCAGGAGCGCCGUGCCCAGGGCUCGCCGAGCGGGGCGGCACCGAGCGCGGGCUCCCCUCACCCUCCCUCACCUGUACA
Long non-coding RNA from Hirundo rustica (Barn swallow), 711 nucleotides. RefSeq lists it as uncharacterized. NCBI's taxonomy places the organism in Eukaryota, Metazoa, Chordata, Aves, Passeriformes, Hirundinidae. The record is from RefSeq and is a predicted model, not a curated record. The transcript is spliced from 3 exons.